This 253-nucleotide ribosomal RNA is filed under the name uncultured bacterium. Its description in RNAcentral is "partial 16S ribosomal RNA". It matches the Rfam family "Bacterial small subunit ribosomal RNA", at positions 524 to 776 of the family's 1533-position model. The record is from RNAcentral.
GACAGAGGGUGCAAACGUUGCUCGGAAUUACUGGGCGUAAAGCGCGUGUAGGUGGCUUGUUAAGUCGGGUGUGAAAUCCCUCGGCUCAACCGAGGAAGUGCAUUCGAUACUGGCAAGCUCGAGUACCGGAGAGGGUCGUGGAAUUCCUGGUGUAGAGGUGAAAUUCGUAGAUAUCAGGAGGAACACCGGCGGCGAAGGCGGCGACCUGGACGAGUACUGACACUCAGACGCGAAAGCGUGGGGAGCAAACAGG